Molecule: ribosomal RNA, 279 nt
Filed under: uncultured bacterium
Lineage: Bacteria
Description: partial 16S ribosomal RNA
Rfam family: Bacterial small subunit ribosomal RNA
Source: RNAcentral
UGCCAGCCGCCGCGGUAAUACGGAGGGUGCAAGUGUUAAUCGGAAUUACUGGGCGUAAAGAGUAUGUAGGCGGCAAAGUAAGUCAAAUGUGAAAUCUCUGGGCUCAACCUAGAAACUGCAUUUGAAACUGCUUAGCUAGAGUAUGGUAGAGGAUAGCGGAAUUUCCUGUGUAGCGGUGGAAUGUGUAGAUACAGGAAGGAACACCAGUUGCGAAGGCGGCUAUCUGGACCAAUACUGACGCUGAGAUACGAAAGCUUGGGUAGCAAACAGGAUUAGAUA